GAUGAACGCUGGCGGCGUGCCUAAUACAUGCAAGUCGAGCGAACGGACGAGAAGCUUUCUUCUCUGAUGUUAGCGGCGGACGGGUGAGUAACACGUGGAUAACCUACCUAUAAGACUGGGAUAACUUCGGGAAACCGGAGCUAAUACCGGAUAAUAUUUUGAACCGCAUGGUUCAAAAGUGAAAGACGGUCUUGCUGUCACUUAUAGAUGGAUCCGCGCUGCAUUAGCUAGUUGGUAAGGUAACGGCUUACCAAGGCAACGAUGCAUAGCCGACCUGAGAGGGUGAUAGACCACACUGGCACUGGAACAGGGUAAAGACUCCUACGGGAGGCAGCAGUAGGGAAUCUUCCGCAAUGGGCGCAAGCCUGACGGAGCACCGCCGCGUGAGUGAUGAAGGUCUUCGGAUCGUAAAACUCUGUUAUUAGGACAGCACAUACGUGUAAGUAACUGUGCACAUCUUGAAGGUCCCUAACAAGAAAGACACGGCUAAGUACGUG
RNAcentral lists this ribosomal RNA (497 nucleotides) under uncultured bacterium. RNAcentral describes it as "partial 16S ribosomal RNA". It matches the Rfam family "Bacterial small subunit ribosomal RNA", at positions 28 to 507 of the family's 1533-position model. The record is from RNAcentral.